CCUUAGAGUUUGAUCCUGGCUCAGGAUGAACUCUGGCGGUGUGCUUAACACAUGCAAGUCGAACGGAACUCAUUGGAUCAAGACUUCGGUCAAGUGAAUUUGAGUUUAGUGGCGGACGGGUGAGUAACGCGUGAGGAACCUGCCUCGGAGUGGGGAAUAACAGUUAGAAAUGACUGCUAAUACCGCAUAAUGCAUUUGGAUCGCAUGGUCUGAAUGCCAAAGAUUUAUCGCUCUGAGAUGGCCUCGCGUCUGAUUAGCUAGUUGGCGGGGUAACGGCCCACCAAGGCGACGAUCAGUAGCCGGACUGAGAGGUUGGCCGGCCACAUUGGGACUGAGACACGGCCCAGACUCCUACGGGAGGCAGCAGUGGGGAAUAUUGGGCAAUGGGCGCAAGCCUGACCCAGCAACGCCGCGUGAAGGAAGAAGGCUUUCGGGUUGUAAACUUCUUUUAGCAGGGACGAAGAACGUGACGGUACCUGCAGAAAAAGCAACGGCUAACUACGUGCCAGCAGCCGCGGUAAUACGUAGGUUGCAAGCGUUGUCCGGAUUUACUGGGUGUAAAGGGCGUGUAGGCGGAGCUGCAAGAUCAGAUGUGAAAUCCCGGGGCUCAACCCCGGAACUGCAUUUGAAACUGUAGCCCUUGAGUAUCGGAGAGGCAAGCGGAAUUCUUAGUGUAGCGGUGAAAUGCGUAGAUAUUAGGAGGAACACCAGUGGCGAAGGCGGCUUGCUGGACGACAACUGACGCUGAGGCGCGAAAGCGUGGGGAGCAAACAGGAUUAGAUACCCUGGUAGUCCACGCUCUAAACGAUG
Molecule: ribosomal RNA, 810 nt
Filed under: uncultured bacterium
Lineage: Bacteria
Description: bacterial SSU rRNA
Rfam family: Bacterial small subunit ribosomal RNA
Source: RNAcentral